RNAcentral lists this unclassified non-coding RNA (1593 nucleotides) under Hevea brasiliensis (rubber tree). The record is from RNAcentral. Lineage: Eukaryota; Viridiplantae; Streptophyta; Magnoliopsida; Malpighiales; Euphorbiaceae.
AUCAGUGUUUGGUAAAGGAAUGUUGAAACUAAAUGAACAGAGAGUAACAGUUGUUGACACCCUCUCAAAAGAUGAUGCAUCAAAACCUAAAAACACGAGCAGAUCAUGCCUCCUAAUACUAAACAGUCAUUGUUGCAAAAUGAGUGCAACUUCCAGCAUUCAACUUCGCUUUCCAUCUAUCCCAUCUCUAACCGCCAAAACCUCUACCAAACACUGAUCUACCCAAGUUCCUGUACAGUUAAUUACAGUUCCACAAAUAUUAUGAAUCUAUGAGUACACAUGGCAUGUUGCUCUAUUAUGGCCUGCUCCUUUGCACUUGCUGCAAUGCAAUGGUCUUUUAAUCACCCCUUUUGCUCGAAUUCUCCUCUGCUUCGGUGGGCCAGUUAGAAGACGAAGAGGAGGGGGAAGUACUUGGGGUGGGGAGGAUUCUUUAUGCACAGGCUUAUCUGUUGUUGGAACCGGAUUUAUAGGCUCUGAAUAGGUUAACUGAAAAAAUUCAGUUGUAUAAUACCUGGAGCAGUAAUCAUACAAGUUCCUAUCAAAAUGUUGAAGGACGACCACAGCAUGAAAACAUGGGAAACCAUUAAGUUGCCAUGCCCUGCAACUACAGCUCCAAGCAUCAAUGUUAACAAUGUUGGUUUCCCCUAGACAAUCAUGAACUUCAAAAGUAUUCCUAGGAGAUAAUGAAACUUGAAGUGACUGUGCCUUGAGAAUCUCUUUUUGCAAUUUUUCUUCCAGGGAUGGAGUCAAUUUUGUCAACCACCUCGCUUUUUGAAGGUUCACGGUUAAAUCAGCUCCAUCAUCUUUUGGCGAAUAGUAUCAAUAAUCUGUACUACUGGUAACAUUGGGAGAUCAUUUACCCAACUAUAAAAUGAUUGACCAAUGUUUGAUGUGAAAUGAUUGUACCGUGAACCUUCAAAAAGCGAGUUUGCCCAGUGCUCAGGUUCACUUUGCAAAAUCCAUUCAAAAGCUUCAGGUGAGAUGCUUUUAAUGCUCUCAACGUACUUUCUAAAUCCAUCAGGUGUAGCUGCAUGGGCAGCAUCAUAAAGAUGAGCAACAAUGGCACUUACAACUUCUUCAGUGUAUGGGCCCUUAAGGUCCUCCUUUAACUCCUCUGAUAGAUGACGAAGGCAAAAACUAUGAUGAGAAUCCUCAAAUGCCAUCAAAACGGACUGUCUUAAACCCAUCUGUCUGCCUCCCACAAAAGUUAUUGGUUGGUAAGUUGAAAGCACAGAUUUCAAUUGUACCAAAAACCAAUGCCAAUUAUCAUCAUUUACAAUAUCUACUAUAGCAAAAGCCACAGGGAAAAUGCCAUCAUUUCCAUCCAAUGCUGUUGCAGUCAGCAGUUCUGACUGAUAUUUUGAUUUCAGUGUCAUAGUAUCAAGGAAAAUUAGAGGGCGACAACCAUUCUGAAAACCACAUAUUGAGGCAUGGAAGGCAACAAACAAACGAUGGAAACUUUGGUCCUCUCUUGUGAUAAGAGUGACAAGCCAGGAUUUGUCUCUACCAUCUUCUCACAUAACCAAGGCAGCUGAUUGUAUGCCUCUUUGUAUGAACCCUGAAGCUCUUCCUUCGCAAUCUCCAUCCCUCGCC